Molecule: long non-coding RNA, 198 nt
Organism: Salvelinus namaycush (lake trout)
Lineage: Eukaryota; Metazoa; Chordata; Actinopteri; Salmoniformes; Salmonidae
Exons: 3
Source: RefSeq, a predicted model, not a curated record
UAUCAAAUCAUUAUUUAGAAUUAAAGCCAAGCUGGUGUUUGACAUUAACUCACCGCCUGUCAGAGAGCAUGGGAGCAAUUAUAUUUCUCCUGAUUCUGGCGCUUCUCAAGGACUAUGGUCAUGGAGCGCCACAGAAAGGUACUACUGUGUGUGUUUUUCUGGGUUUAUUGACUACUGGUGCCACUCAACAAUGCUUGG